Molecule: non-coding RNA, 379 nt
Organism: Salvelinus sp. IW2-2015
Lineage: Eukaryota; Metazoa; Chordata; Actinopteri; Salmoniformes; Salmonidae
Source: RefSeq, a predicted model, not a curated record
GUUUAGCUCAGGGUUGGUAAGUAGAGUCCAGGACACCACUCCUCCAGCCCUCCUCCUCUCCUCCUGUCGUCUGAAGGCCUAGUAUAGUUUAGCUCAGGGUUGGUAGGAGAGUUCACGGUGGAUAUCAAGUCUCCUGAAGAAAGAACUUCACAUUUUCACAACACGGUGAAAGCAAUAUGGUGGAAAGUAGUCAAGGAGUCUAUUUCCACACUAUGCUAUUUUUUUCAGUCUUUAAUCUAAUGCAGACGAGGAGACGAGGAGAGGAGAACAACGUUAGACUAUUGAGACUCACCCCCUAGAACAGUUAAACCUCUCGUCUCCUUACCAAUCACUUCAAACUUCCCUGUCCUCUUCAUAAAGGAGUCACUAGAGCUGUCCC